This 445-nucleotide ribosomal RNA is filed under the name uncultured bacterium. RNAcentral describes it as "bacterial SSU rRNA". It matches the Rfam family "Bacterial small subunit ribosomal RNA", at positions 354 to 796 of the family's 1533-position model. The record is from RNAcentral.
GUGAGGAAUAUUGCGCAAUGGACGAAAGUCUGACGCAGCCAUGCCGCGUGCAGGAUGACGGCCCUACGGGUUGUAAACUGCUUUUAUACAGGAAGAACCUCCCGCACGUGUGCGGGACUGACGGUACUGUAGGAAUAAGCAUCGGCUAACUCCGUGCCAGCAGCCGCGGUAAUACGGAGGAUGCAAGCGUUAUCCGGAUUUAUUGGGUUUAAAGGGUGCGUAGGCGGAAUGAUAAGUCAGUGGUGAAAUCUUGCAGCUUAACUGUAAAAUUGCCAUUGAUACUGUUGUUCUUGAGUACGGUUGAGGUAGGCGGAAUGUGUAAUGUAGCGGUGAAAUGCUUAGAUAUUACACAGAACACCGAUUGCGUAGGCAGCUUACUAAGCCGCAACUGACGCUGAGGCACGAAAGCGUGGGGAUCGAACAGGAUUAGAAACCCGAGUAGUCC